This 73-nucleotide transfer RNA is filed under the name Mus musculus (house mouse). RNAcentral's name for it is "tRNA-Asn". The record is from RNAcentral. Lineage: Eukaryota; Metazoa; Chordata; Mammalia; Rodentia; Muridae.
GAAGAGAUGGCUCAGCGGUUAAGAACACUGACUGUUCUUCCAGAGGUCCUGAGUUCAAUUCCCAGCAACCACA